UGGUGAAGAGGUGAUAAUGGAAGCUGGCCGGUGGAGGUUUUCCUGCUAGCGUUUCAAGGGUUAGUUUUAUCAUUUCGUUAGACAGAAAUUACUCUUACAACAGUGAGGCUUUGGUUUUGUCUCACUACAUCAAGGAAAAUUCAAUGUCGCACCUCUGAUAAUCUUCCGAGUUUUCUCACAUUUUCAAUCCAAACAGUGUAAAUUCAUCUGUUGCAGUGACUCUUUAAUUUGGAAAUUAAAUCAGCGGAGAGCGGACACCAUAAUGGAUCAGAGACUUCUUGUGGAUUCCAUCACAAAAGAAACUACAGACUGGACCUGCAAGGUUCAGGAACAACAGGUUUCCAUAGUGCUAUACGGCGAUGACAUUCCCAAAUACGAGAACUUGUUCCUCCUUUUCCACACAUAUCUUGUUUCUUGUGCGAAAGCUAGGGAUCCCCGUGGCUACUCGAUACGAGCCGGUACGUAUGAAUGGGUAGCUGACAAAUACACAAUUGUUGAGCCGAUUACCGACAACGAUGGAUUGGAAACACCACUGCCUGCUCCAGAAAAGUUAAGAACACUUCCUUUCUGAGCGGUUGAACAACAACAUCCAGGUGCUGAAUUUGACUUACUGGCAGUAGUAGUUAACUGCAGCACCCUGUAAUACACAGCUGACCAGAGCACACACUUUCGGGAAGCGAUUGUGAUGGAUCAAAGUUCUGAGAUUGGAAACAAGAUAUCAAACAACAAUUUUACCAAAUCCUCAAUAUGUGCAGGCAAUUACACUGAUGAACUGGGUGAAGCAGAACGAACAAAUAUUAUCGUCUUAUACUUUAAGAAGCUCCUCAUCAUCAACCUCCUCAUUGAAUCUUGCACCUAUUGAUGAAGAUCAAGUACAAUCUGUAUCCAACAUUCCACAGUCGUUGUCUACGGUACAAACUGUUCCUAUGAAAGGCAGAAUAUCGCUUCCCGAUUAUUCUCAAUCAUUUUACUUGCUUGCCUGUUCAAACUGCAAUCACUAUGUAUGUCCUAAAACAAAAAAUGGUCCACUGCUUCAACUAUAAACUACACCGGCCAUUGGUCCCCAGGUGUAUAGCAAAUUGCAUUUCAACCUAGCUAUUGAGUCACAAGGAGUUAAUUUGCUCGGAAACAGUCAACUGGGACAAGCUUAUCCGUGUGUUUCACCAAGAUGUUUUUAUGACAUAGGCGGGGUGGAAAUGUUUGUUUGGUCUGCAUAGGGCAUGCUCUCAUGAAGUAUAAGGACAUGCCUAUAUGUUCUGUAAUUUACAGCUUCUGCCAACUAAAACUCAGAAAACAGUGAUUUGUGCCGGGUUCAUAUCACUAAUGAUACAACAAAACCUGUCUGCAUGAUGUUGUUCCAUUGUUUACACGUUCACAUGCUAUUACUCCACAGUGAAAUAGAUUCAUCCUGUACAUUUGCCUCCACACCUGAAACUUUGAUGUUGCAGCUUUGUCUCUUUCCUUUCAGGUGCCACUUCAACAUUGACAUCACAGAUUUCAGCGGGACAAUUGCAGCAACAGUGUCAAAAGCUUUAGCAGAAAGAAUACUGUCCCUAACUGUCGAUCAAAUAUAUGACAAAGUUGUUGUCCAAGUAUAAAAUACAUACUGUUACCUACGGCGAAACUCCUCUUACAAUUUCAUUCUACCAGUAACUCCUAUUUAAUGUACUAUCUUUAACCUUUUCCACUUAGAAACAACCACUGUCUAUUUCCAGUAGAAAUCGCCAACUUGAUCGUGAACUGUUUAAACUCCAAUUACAAAAGUCAGCUUUCAGAUUUCCAGACCAAAAAUCAGAUGCGCUAGCUGUUGCGUCAUUCACUGAAACAGAACAAACAGGUAAGAGGCAGAAAAUUGAACCAUCCACAUCCGUGAAAAGGAUUGAAGGUAACAAUACUUUGAUAUUUCAUCUGCUACCAUACUCUAUUUCCUGUGUACCGGAGCUAUGACAAUUACCCAAAUAUUUAUUAUGAAUUCAUUAUCUUACCAUUUCAGCAUUACUAAUAACAAAUAAGCAGGUCUAACUUACACUGAAAUAUACAAUAUCUACUCAACACAAUCAGGUAAAUAGAAUAAUCAUAUGCCUCUUUACUGCACCACCAGGAAAAACCAUUUACUUUUGGUGUUUCCAGAGGUUUACCUUGUAUUAGUUUUGGUUACUUUUGGCAUUUCCUUCAUCGGAUAUAUAAAUCGGUUUUAAAUUCUGCCUUGCUUUCUUUCAUCAUCUUCUUUAUCUCAGGUGAGUUUCAACUUGUACAUAUACCUUUGUAAUAGUAAUACUUGUAGGUGACUUAUUGAUAUAUUCACAACGCACGUAAGUUGUUUAAUGAAAAUCCUCUAUCAUAAAAUAGUGUGACAAAAAGCUACUUUGUUACUUUUGUUUUUGCCUGUAACUUAAAGACAAUGUACAAUGUAACCAUUCCAGAUUGGUUAAGCGCUAAAAUCUCGAGCAACACUCUAUUCGGAAAUAAGCUACUUACAUGAACUAUCCAAUAUUUACAUCCUAAAAUAUACUCUUUUAUGUGGACAUUGUAAAACAAUAAUUACAUCAGAAUGUGGACAUAUUCUUGGAUUAUGUAUUUUCCUGAGUUGUAACUUUCCCCAAGGUUUUUUGGCGUGAUGAUAACUUAACCUUUCGGAUAAAAAGAUUAUUUGGUUUCUCUUUAACUGUUGAUGUUUAAGUGCUAUAAAGUUUGGGACUUUCGGAGAAUUUGAUGGUUCAACUUUGGUUUUUACUAAGAAAUUUAGCUUCCUGUCUUUGUUUUUUGCAGGUAUGUGAAGAAGUUAUGGAACUUUAAUUAACCUACUGUACUCUGCAGCUGUAACUAUAUGGCAACCUUUCUUCACAUUUUGCUUAGCACUGUUUAUCGUGAUUAUAUUGCUACUUUGUGAUACAGUUAUGUAACUUGUCUCCGCUUAUCGUCACCUCAUCGUUGGGCCCAUGCCUGCACGAACUUCUCCAUCUAGUAUAUAUAUAUGCAUGCCCUUACCAUUAUAAUUUGGGGUCAUAUAUAUAUAUAUAUAACACUGAAACACGUGGCAGCCUCCAUUAAUUUAUUCAAUCCCCUCAAAAUUUUAUACCUAAAUUUAAUAAUUUGUCCAAUCCGACCCUUAAAAUGGAAAAAUCCCUCAUCCACUUGCCACUUUUACCCAUUUCACCCGAAAACUAUAGCCUACCACUAAAGAGAACCUGGGAACCUCAAACUUGAUUGAGAGACUAACUCGCAUCACUAGCUUAUCCGAAACACCCUAUCAGUUCUAACACCCUCAUAAGCUGUUUCUCUAUUUUGCAGAAUCAAGCAAAUGCAAGAAAAAGAUUCUGUGUUCUUAAAAGAGACUGAACUUGUUCGAUUUUUUAAAAAGCCACUUAAUUCCAUUACCCUACAAAAUUAGUUAAGAUCAUUAAAAAUAACCCCUUUUGACUCAUUUUCAGCCUAUUCAUUUUAACAUGGAAGAGGAGGCUCGUGAGGAAAAAAAAUUAUUGCACCAGCAAAUUGAAAAAUGUCACGUGUAAUAAAAAAUAUUUCCACUUUUUUCUUUUUCUAUUUUACUUUUUUUCUUCCUUUCUAUUACUUUUUCUUUUGUUUCUCCUUUUUCAUUUCUUCUUCAUCAAUGGAGUCUUAUUUUCCCUUCCUCUUCUUCUCCGUUAAUGUGAUGGUGGUGGAUAUUAUCCUGGUGGAUAUUUAUUUUUUGAUAAAAAUGAUAAUGAGAUUUUAAAAAAAGUAAAAAAAAAGGGGCAUGUUAGCUACUAUUUUUUCUUGAUCGGAUGUGCUCGCAGUGAUUCGAGGCCCAUUUUGGCAUUGGUCCCCCUGUCAGCUCUACUGUAGCUUUGCUGGCGACUGGAGAUAGUAGCUCGCCGGAGCUUUUGCUGAUAGGAUCAGCUUAAAUUCCUUGGGGAGGUAUGUGUGAGGAUUGCGAACAAACCUCAGUGGUUUUAUCACCACAAAUCUCACCAGAAUUUGAUGGAGUUUUUGGAGAUUUUGCUUUGCCAUCGGCAGUGUUCGCCGACGAUUUGCCAUCAAAUUGCAAGGUGAAAUUGGCUGCAUUUUUAUCACAUUGUAUAUUAAGAUCAAGAUAAUGAGCACCACUUUGCUUAACAGACAAUUGAGCUUGCAAUAAAUUAAAAAUAUAAGAGAGAGGAUUGGGUGAGAGAAAGUCAAAAGAUAAGAGAGAGAAAUAAAUAAAAAGAUAAAAAUUUUUAAAAAUAAAAAUAUAUUUUAAUUAAUUAACACGUAGCAAUCAGUAAUUGUUGGGUGUUUAUCACUUGCUUAUAAAAAUUGGAAUUGAUCCAAAAAUGAUUAAUAAUAUCAAUUCACAAUGGUUUAGGGGUAUAGGACCCCACAAAGUGACUUUAUGUCUUUUCUCUUCUUAAAAUAAAUACAUUUUCCAUUUCGAUUUUUGCAUGAAGUUGAAAUAUUGUUGAAUUAUUGAUAUGAAAGUUUUCCGAGUUUUAAGGAAAUUGAACUCAUUACUAUCUUCAAAACUGAACAAAACCCUUCAACAAUUUCUCUUCGCUUUUACUCAGUCCAACAUCAUUGCAGUACAAUUAUGUUAAUUCGAAAAAAUAGGGUAAGAAGCUCUAGUUGGGAUAAGAAAUAUUGAAAAAGAGUGAAAAGUAUGCUGUUUUAUAAAGACCCUCUAGAGAUUUAAGAGUUCAAGAAUCUUGAUUAA
This is a long non-coding RNA of Capsicum annuum, 4669 nucleotides long. RefSeq lists it as uncharacterized. The record is from RefSeq and is a predicted model, not a curated record. The transcript is spliced from 11 exons. NCBI's taxonomy places the organism in Eukaryota, Viridiplantae, Streptophyta, Magnoliopsida, Solanales, Solanaceae.